Molecule: ribosomal RNA, 549 nt
Filed under: uncultured bacterium
Lineage: Bacteria
Description: partial 16S ribosomal RNA
Rfam family: Bacterial small subunit ribosomal RNA
Source: RNAcentral
UGGGGAAUAUUGCACAAUGGGCGAAAGCCUGAUGCAGCAACGCCGCGUGAGUGAUGAAGGCCUUCGGGUUGUGAAGCUCUGUCUUUUGGGACGAUAAUGACGGUACCAAAGGAGGAAGCCACGGCUAACUACGUGCCAGCAGCCGCGGUAAUACGUAGGUGGCAAGCGUUGUCCGGAUUUACUGGGCGUAAAGGAUGCGUAGGCGGAUUUUUAAGUGAGAUGUGAAAUACCCGGGCUUAACUUGGGUGCUGCAUUUCAAACUGGGAAUCUAGAGUGCGGGAGAGGAGAAUGGAAUUCCUAGUGUAGCGGUGAAAUGCGUAGAGAUUAGGAAGAACACCAGUGGCGAAGGCGAUUCUCUGGACCGUAACUGACGCUGAGGCAUGAAAGCGUGGGUAGCAAACAGGAUUAGAUACCCUGGUAGUCCACGCCGUAAACGAUGAGUACUAGGUGUAGGAGGUAUCGACCCCUUCUGUGCCGCAGUUAACACAAUAAGUACUCCGCCUGGGAAGUACGAUCGCAAGAUUAAAACUCAAAUGAAUUGACGGGGUC